RNAcentral lists this ribosomal RNA (517 nucleotides) under uncultured fungus. RNAcentral's name for it is "SSU rRNA". It matches the Rfam family "Eukaryotic small subunit ribosomal RNA", at positions 214 to 731 of the family's 1831-position model. Lineage: Eukaryota; Fungi. The record is from RNAcentral.
AUAAAAAACCAACGCCCUUCGGGGCUCCUUGGUGAAUCAUAAUAACUUAACGAAUCGCAUGGCCUUGCGCCGGCGAUGGUUCAUUCAAAUUUCUGCCCUAUCAACUUUCGAUGGUAGGAUAGUGGCCUACCAUGGUGGCAACGGGUAACGGGGAAUUAGGGUUCGAUUCCGGAGAGGGAGCCUGAGAAACGGCUACCACAUCCAAGGAAGGCAGCAGGCGCGCAAAUUACCCAAUCCCGAUACGGGGAGGUAGUGACAAUAAAUACUGAUACGGGGCUCUUUUGGGUCUCGUAAUUGGAAUGGGAACAAUUUAAAUCCCUUAACGAGGAACAAUUGGAGGGCAAGUCUGGUGCCAGCAGCCGCGGUAAUUCCAGCUCCAAUAGCGUAUAUUAAAGUUGUUGCAGUUAAAAAGCUCGUAGUUGAACCUUGGGUCUGGCUGGCCGGUCCGCCUCAUCGCGAGUACUGGUCCGGCUGGACCUUUCCUUCUGGGGAACCCCAUGGCCUUCACUGGCUGUGG